CAAAACGCAGCAGCACUUGCUCAUAAUUCAUAUCACAGAUUCAGCUUCCACUAUCUCAAAUUUUCAGUUUUCUUUGUUCAAGUGCAAUGUCACCUAUCAUUGUCAUACGAAAAACUCUUUUUUUCUCAAGUUCUUUCACUUGCACAUGAAGAGCGCCUCUUAGUGAAUUUGGAAAAUGGUUGCAACCCUCCGAGGCUUGAAUUCAUUGCAGUUUUGAAAACCUACUGGAAAAUCACCAAUCUUGAUAAGAAUGAUUCAUUUUACACAGUAUCCAUUGAAUUUUUGGUCGUGUGUUCGAAUUUUUUUCGUAAUUUUUCAAAAAAGGGGGAAGACAUUUUUCAAAAAAAUUGCCCCACGUGAAAACUAUGCAUCUUUGAAUCUCGGGAAUUAUUUUCGGCACUUAUGGAAAGCCGUUCUCUUAUCGGAGGCGCUUGCUCUACUUCCCGUUUCAGCGAAGGAAAUUAUUCCAGACAACUCCAAAACUUUCAGUCUUAAAAAUCAAGACAAAAUGAUCGAAUAUAUUAACCAGGUUCAGUCAUCGUGGGAGGUAACGACGAUGUAUAUGAAAGGGUACUUACAUUUUCCUCGAUUGAACAGUGCACGAUUUCUACGCAUCUUUCUUAGGUAAAAGGGACAUUGGUAGAAGGUGAACUGCUGUGAUUAUUUAACUAGACGAUUCAUUCACGUCUCGAAAUCACUAAAGAUCUUUGGAACUCGAUGUUUUUGCCGAAAAAUUGACACAAAACUUACUUUGCCGAUCUAAUUGCGGAGUUUGCACUUGUCCUGUAGCCUGGCUGUUGAAAUAUUUAUGUGCAUGGACCGGAUAAGACAAGAUUAAGGAGAACGGAGUUAUGUGAUCGGUCAAUGCUCUGAGUUGUGCGUCUUAUUGCGCCGAUACAGGGUGUCAUCAAAUCAACAAGAAGCUAAAGGCACCUCUUGAGUUGCCGAUACUUUAUCCAUCUUUUCAAAUCCCUUCCUACUCAGAUCCGCAUGUUUUAUCGGCACGACAUGACGACAAGGCGCAAGACUUCGAGUAUCGACCAAUUGCAUGACUCUAUUUUCUUUCAUCUUAUCUUAACCGGUCGACAAACACAAAAUUUCAACAAUCAGGCUGCUAAUCCUUCCGCCUUCAGUUAUUUGACUAUGCAAUAUGAGCUACGCAAGAGUGGUAAUACCUGCAAGAGGAUCAUCAUCAAUUGUACAGAAAGUGUCUAAAUUUUAAAUUGCGGAUUGAGGGAAUAAGGCAGGAAAUGAGGAGAUGCGAUCUGCUGGAGGAGCUCUGGCAGGAUCGCUAUCAGUGGUGGUUGGGCGUCGCAGAGCGCACAGAAGCGCUAUAAGAGCGACUUGUUAGUUAGUAGUCUAAAUUUUAUAGGUCGUUAUGCGUAUGUCAUAAUUGUUUGAAACAAAUGUUGGAGAGAUGAUUCAAUUUGUUCUGUCUCAGGCAGGGAAAAACUUUCACGAUGACACGCCCGAGGACUACCUAAGGAAACUUGCCUCAGCCUGGAUAUCAGAGGAAGAACUUCUUUUGGACACCCAUUAAGAUGGGUCCGAGGUUACAACUUACACCAGCGCUGAUCCGCCUGCUGAGUUUGACGCAAGGAAGAAGUGGACCAACUGCCCGAGUGUUGCCCACAUCUACGAUCAGGGAAACUGCGGUAGUUGUUGGGUAUGUACUAUGUAUCACAAAAUUGUAGAGAUUCUUUUUUGAGGAUUUUUUUUA
This 1720-nucleotide long non-coding RNA is filed under the name Bemisia tabaci. RNAcentral describes it as "lncRNA ENSASIAIIG006011". Lineage: Eukaryota; Metazoa; Arthropoda; Insecta; Hemiptera; Aleyrodidae. The record is from RNAcentral.